This 466-nucleotide ribosomal RNA is filed under the name uncultured bacterium. Its description in RNAcentral is "partial 16S ribosomal RNA". It matches the Rfam family "Bacterial small subunit ribosomal RNA", at positions 28 to 505 of the family's 1533-position model. The record is from RNAcentral.
GACGAACGCUGGCGGCGUGCUUAACACAUGCAAGUCGAACGGAAAGGCCCUGCUUUUGUGGGGUGCUCGAGUGGCGAACGGGUGAGUAACACGUGAGUAACCUGCCCUUGACUUUGGGAUAACUUCAGGAAACUGGGGCUAAUACCGGAUAGGAGCUCCUGCUACAUGGUGGGGGUUGGAAAGUUUCGGCGGUUGGGGAUGGACUCGCGGCUUAUCAGCUUGUUGGUGGGGUAGUGGCUUACCAAGGCUUUGACGGGUAGCCGGCCUGAGAGGGUGACCGGCCACAUUGGGACUGAGAUACGGCCCAGACUCCUACGGGAGGCAGCAGUGGGGAAUAUUGCACAAUGGGCGGAAGCCUGAUGCAGCAACGCCGCGUGCGGGAUGACGGCCUUCGGGUUGUAAACCGCUUUCGCCUGUGACGAAGCGUGAGUGACGGUAAUGGGUAAAGAAGCACCGGCUAACUACG